This 84-nucleotide transfer RNA is filed under the name bacterium. RNAcentral describes it as "tRNA-Leu". It matches the Rfam family "tRNA". Rfam says of the family: Transfer RNA (tRNA) molecules are approximately 80 nucleotides in length. Their secondary structure includes four short double-helical elements and three loops (D, anti-codon, and T loops). The record is from RNAcentral.
GGUCGAGUGGUGGAAUUGGCAGACACGCGGGACUCAAAAUCCCGUGCCGUAAAAAGCAUGAGGGUUCAAGUCCCUCCUCGACCA